UUCAGGGAUAUAGAAACUUUUCCAUUGACACAACGCAGCAACAAGUGGGUGCUACUGAUAAUUGUUAUAAAAGUGUAGCCCCUUUUACUACACAGGGUGCUAAAAAAAAGUCCAAAUCAUUAGCAUUUACAUAUUUCAGGUUUUUCUCCAUCCAACUAGCCUAUAUACUUGCUGCAGCGACUGUUUUGCAAUGUGUCCACAUCAUUAUGCCUCUAGCUUGUUAAGACUUUGCCGACAGUUCUAAAAAUGAUCCUAUGUAAGACUAAAGAGUGAGAUAAAUACAUACGCGGGCUGUCUGACAGAAUCUGCACAAUGCAGAAAUAAACGAUUAGUAUCAACAGUAACAUUCCUAUACAUAUACAUCUGCUGAAGAUCUUUCCGAAAGUUGUUUCUGCAUCAGACGAGCUUAUGAAUUUGCUAUCCAUCCAAAGCAGGACCCUUUGAGAGAUGUCUUACUCUUCCAAAGUAUAUGCACAUAGCCACUGAAUCCUAUUUCUGUCUGAGCCAGAUAAAGUAUUGUAAUACUAUGAAAUUCCCUUUUCAUAUGAUAAGAGUGAGUUCGACAAUUUUGAUAGGAUUCCCUACUCAUUACCUUCUUAGGUAGCUGACUUAAGUAACUUACUCUAUCAAUCUCCGGUGAUCCCUUCAAAAUAUGAUGCCUCAGCAGUGUCCGUUGCUCCUUCAUCGCCUAUUGUGGCUUAGGAUCUACUGCUUCCUCAAACACUGCCUCUGGGGAACUAUGUCCAAUCCAAUAAUAUAAAUGGAAAUUUUAUUCUUCUGCAAUUCUACACAUUAAAACUAACAGAAGCAUAGAAUGAGCAACAAAGCAAUACAAGUUCUUUAGAAGAAUUUAGUGUUUAUGGCUAAGAUUCAUUAUAAAAUCUUUGAAUUUCACAACGUUUGUCAUGCUUUAUGAAACCUAAUGGGCAUAACUGCAAUAAAUACAGAAAUCAGGAGGAUUUUUAAGUUCCACAAAUCAAGAGCCAACUAAAAUAAGAUGAGUUAGCCAAAAGCCACACCAACUUAGAUUAACUAAGAAGUUGCAAUGCAUCAUCUAGGCCCUUUAUUGCGCUAUUGACCUUUGCUUUCAAGCCAAAAGAACAGUUAAUGUCGCUUGUAAUGUCGUUUGCACAUGGUUACAUGUCAUACGAUGCUCAGUAACUAGUUCUACUGCAAACCAUGUCAUUGCCAUGUUAUAAAAGCAAAGGCUCAAGAAAACUCCUGUUGUUUCAAGCCAAAAUCUCCAAUUAUCUCUUAGGGGUCGUUUGGUACGCGAGAUAAGGUGGGAUACCAGAGAAUGCCAUUGCAUCUGACCAUACUAUUGCACUGUUCUUGGCAGAGUAACCACUCAAAAGGUCAGCAUGUCAAUAUAAAAUCCACAGUUCUAUCAACAUUACAGUUCUAUCAACAUAGAGAAAUAGUGUAACUAUAACAACCAAAUUCCACAUGACCUCUUUUUUACCUGUUACAAAAGUAUUUUUAAAAAUUUGUGAUGGUGUUCGAGCCAACUUGCACACACUCCCAUCAACGAGGAUGCCAAGUAAUUUUGUCCACCUAGAUUUAGGCAGAAAGGAAGAAAUCACUUUGCGUAUUUUUGCCUCAAUCUCCCAUGCAGUACUUCAAGCUCUUAAGAUAUCCUAUCUGUUAAAAUUGGUUACUAUGGCCAUUGAAAAGGUCAUAUGCACAACAAAUCUAGUAGUUUAGUUGUUCCUCACAUGGAAUACUUUAUUUUUCAAAGUACAAGAAAUGUCUAGCACAAUUUACCAUUACACCCUUAUCUAAGGAUUGAAUGAACAAAAAGCUGCUCAAACCUAAACCUCCGUUCCCCAGUCAAGAACCGUCCAUCAUAGUGAACCUCUCCCCCGAUGAGGUGGAUGUCUCUUACUCAAGGGGAUCAAAUUAAAGGUCACUAGGUAACCACUGAUCUAUAGUUAUCCAUAAACUCCCAUGCUUAGUGGAGAAGAAGCAAACAAAAGUAUCCUUGCUUGCUAUCCAAUACUUUGUCACGAACUAUGGUUGCUAGUUUAUUUCAUGUAUUACUUGCACUAGUCAAUAUCUAACCAGCUAAGUUGAAUGGAGAAAGAUUUUAUGAGGACAUAUUCCCCUAUCCAAAGACAAGGGAUGAAAGACCUCCCAAUCUACUUCAUGUAACCACGGAGAAAGAAGUUGACAACUAAGGAACCGUCGUGUUUGUUUUUCUUCAAAGGCACAAUCUGCUCCUACUCAUCUUUAUUACCUUCCGUCAACUAUUAAGAUGUUUUAGUUUCCUAACUUUUAAAAGUGCAAAGAGCACAAACUACGCUUCAGAGCUGGAGCCUUAUACGAGCUAAUGAGACCUCACGCCAAAGCCAUCAAAUUAUCUUUCUGAUAGAUGCCUCUAUUUGUAUGGAGAAUUGGCUGCUAAUAGAUCUCACGCCGUGUCCUCCUCGUUUUCCCACCGCCUUCCGACUUGCGGGAGUAUACAAUGACAAUGUCAUGACGUGAGUGCCAGAUUGUGAGACUAGCUGUUGACGUCAGAUUGAAGAUUCCUGGAUUAUCAGUGGUCUCCUCCACGGCCUAUUGCAUCUAAAUACAUCCUUCCUUCUCAAUGCCAAAGCAUCCAAUGAGGAAAAAGCACAGAGAUAAGUAUGACAGGAGCAGUAAUCUAGUAGUUGACUCCAGCGAAGAUGAUGACACAUUAGCAAAUAUUAUUUCCCUACCAAGAUUGAAUCAAACUAUUACCAAGUAAACAUAGAUGAUUCCAAACACUUUCGAGCCAUAAAGGCAGCAAAAAAGGUCUUAUCUUAUAAGAGGAAAUCCAUACGCAAAAUUAACAUUUUGAUUCUAGCCCCUUAGUAGAAACAAAAGUUGUCCCACAAUGACGUGUUUCACCAAUUCCUGACUGAUGGCAGCACGUAGAGCAAAAUUCAUCUCAAGAUUUU
RNAcentral lists this long non-coding RNA (2921 nucleotides) under Nicotiana tabacum (common tobacco). Its description in RNAcentral is "long non-coding RNA (NTAB_LNC005384)". Lineage: Eukaryota; Viridiplantae; Streptophyta; Magnoliopsida; Solanales; Solanaceae. The record is from RNAcentral.